AAAUCUUAAUUUUAUAAAUUUUGAUUGGAUAUUUAAUAUAUAAGAUUUUUCUUUCCUUUUUAAAAAUUAAUUUUAUGUGUGUUAGAGUUUAUAUAAUUGUUAAAGUUUUUAAUAACUUAUCAGUGAUUCUGUAAAGAUUAGUUAAUUUUGUGCCAGCAGCUGCGGUUAUACUAGUGAUCUUAAUUUUUAGUUAUUAUUUCAUAAGAGACUUGUAAAUUGAAAAGUAUUAAGGUGAAAUUUGAUUUUUAUAUAAUAUUGUUUUGUAUUUAGAUAGAUAAGUAUAAACUAGGAUUAGAUACCCUACUAUUAAUAUUAUAGGGGAGGAGUAGAGUUAAAAUUAAAGGAUAUGGCGGCUUUUUCUUAUUAGAGGAGGUUGUAACCAUUAAUUGAUACAACACAUUUUUAUUUUAUUUAUCUUAGUUAUGUAUACCGUCAUUUAAAUGAUCUUGAAGGAGAAAUUUUUAGAGUUUUGUUGAAUAAGUUAGAUCAAGGUGCAGAUAUUGAUAAGAGGUUAUUAUCUACAUUAUACAAUUAUACACGGAUAUUUGUUAAAUUCAAAUCGAAGGUGAAUUUGAUUGUAAUAUUUAUAAAUGAAUAUAAAGGAGAAGUGUACAAAUUGCCCGUCGUUCUCUUUGAGAUAAGUCGAAACAAAGUAGAACCACCUGAAGGUGAUUCUAA
This 678-nucleotide ribosomal RNA is filed under the name Stygobromus pizzinii. RNAcentral describes it as "12S ribosomal RNA". Lineage: Eukaryota; Metazoa; Arthropoda; Malacostraca; Amphipoda; Crangonyctidae. The record is from RNAcentral.